AAGUCGUAACAAGGUUUCCGUAGGUGAACCUGCGGAAGGAUCAUUAAUGAAUGUUUAGGGGGUUGAUGCUGAUUCUUAACUGAAUAUGUGCUCGCCUCCGACAAUCCUUAUCCAUACACCUGUGCACCUUAUUGAGGCGAGUCUUUAUGGACUAGUCUCUCUUAAUCACACACCCCUUUUGUCUAAUUAUGAACGUGAAUUGUGCCGAAAGGCCUUAAAUCAAAAUACAACUUUUAACAACGGAUCUCUUGGCUCUC
This 257-nucleotide unclassified non-coding RNA is filed under the name air metagenome. RNAcentral describes it as "partial contains small subunit ribosomal RNA, internal transcribed spacer 1, and 5.8S ribosomal RNA". The stretch from base 1 to 46 matches the Rfam family "Eukaryotic small subunit ribosomal RNA", at positions 1786 to 1831 of the family's 1831-position model. The record is from RNAcentral.